This 115-nucleotide ribosomal RNA is filed under the name Staphylococcus capitis. The record is from RNAcentral. Lineage: Bacteria; Bacillati; Bacillota; Bacilli; Caryophanales; Staphylococcaceae. RNAcentral also lists the same sequence under 1 other name.
UCUGGUGACAAUGGCAAGGAGGUCACACCUGUUUCCAUGCCGAACACAGAAGUUAAGCUCCUUAGCGCCGAUGGUAGUCGGGCUUACGUCCCGCUAGAGUAGGACGUUGCCAGGC